ACGAAUCUAAGUCGAUGCACUGUGCUGGUGGAAACACAUGUGCACGUGUGUCGCAAACAUCCACACACCUGUGAACCCUAGACUCUGUGGUGAUUGAUCGCCCUGACCUUUGGUCUACGCGAAAGAGGGUCUCUGAGCCCUCCGUCUCCCAGGGUACUUUUUAUCACACUCCGAAUGUAAUGGAAUGUCUCUGUGCAUAAUGCGCAAAUAUA
RNAcentral lists this unclassified non-coding RNA (212 nucleotides) under uncultured Basidiomycota. RNAcentral's name for it is "sequence contains ITS1". Lineage: Eukaryota; Fungi; Basidiomycota. The record is from RNAcentral.